GAGUUUGAUCGUGGCUCAGAUUGAACGCUGGCGGCAUGCCUUACACAUGCAAGUCGAGCGGCAGCGCGGGGGCAACCCUGGCGGCGAGCGGCGAACGGGUGAGUAGUGCAUCGGAACGUGUCCUCUUGUGGGGGAUAACCAGUCGAAAGACUGGCUAAUACCGCAUGAGAUCGAGAGAUGAAAGCAGGGGACCGCAAGGCCUUGCGCGAGAGGAGCGGCCGAUGCCGGAUUAGCUAGUUGGUGGGGUAAAGGCCUACCAAGGCGACGAUCCGUAGCUGGUCUGAGAGGACGACCAGCCACACUGGGACUGAGACACGGCCCAGACUCCUACGGGAGGCAGCAGUGGGGAAUUUUGGACAAUGGGGGAAACCCUGAUCCAGCCAUGCCGCGUGUGUGAAGAAGGCCUUCGGUUGUAAG
This 417-nucleotide ribosomal RNA is filed under the name uncultured beta proteobacterium. Its description in RNAcentral is "bacterial SSU rRNA". It matches the Rfam family "Bacterial small subunit ribosomal RNA", at positions 9 to 429 of the family's 1533-position model. Lineage: Bacteria; Pseudomonadati; Pseudomonadota; Betaproteobacteria. The record is from RNAcentral.